CAGAGGGUGCGAGCGUUAAUCGGAAUUACUGGGCGUAAAGCGAGUGUAGGUGGCUCAUUAAGUCACAUGUGAAAUCCCCCGGGCUUAACCUGGGAACUGCAUGUGAUACUGGUGGUGCUAGAAUAUGUGAGAGGGAAGUAGAAUUCCAGGUGUAAGCCGGUGAAAAUGCGUAGAGAUCGUGGAGGAAUACCGAUGGCGAAGGCAGCUUCCUGGCAUAAUAUUGACACUGAGAUUCGAAAGCGUAGGGUAGCAAACAGGAUU
RNAcentral lists this ribosomal RNA (261 nucleotides) under uncultured bacterium. RNAcentral describes it as "partial 16S ribosomal RNA". It matches the Rfam family "Bacterial small subunit ribosomal RNA", at positions 526 to 779 of the family's 1533-position model. The record is from RNAcentral.